Molecule: ribosomal RNA, 253 nt
Filed under: uncultured bacterium
Lineage: Bacteria
Description: partial 16S ribosomal RNA
Rfam family: Bacterial small subunit ribosomal RNA
Source: RNAcentral
UACGUAGGGGGCAAGCGUUGUCCGGAAUCAUUGGGCGUAAAGCGCGUGUAGGCGGCCCGGUAAGUCCGCUGUGAAAGUCGGGGGCUCAACCCUCGGAUGCCGGUGGAUACUGUCGGGCUCGAGUACGGAAGAGGCGAGUGGAAUUCCUGGUGUAGCGGUGAAAUGCGCAGAUAUCAGGAGGAACACCUAUUGCGAAGGCGGCUCACUGGCUCAUAUCUGACGCUCAGGCGCGACAGCGUGGGGAUCAAACAGG